ACCAGAUACCUCUGGUGUACCAGUGGUGUACCAGUUGUCGUGCCAACGGCAUAGCUGGGUAGCUAUGUAUGGACGGGAUAAGUGCUGAAAGCAUCUAAGCAUGAAGCCCCCCUCAAGAUGAGAUUUCCCAACUUCGGUUAUAAGAUCCCUCGAAGAUGACGAGGUUAAUAGGUUCGAGGUGGAAGCGUGGUGACACGUGGAGCUGACGAAUACUAAUCGAUCGAAGACUUAAUCAA
Molecule: ribosomal RNA, 236 nt
Filed under: Staphylococcus epidermidis
Lineage: Bacteria; Bacillati; Bacillota; Bacilli; Caryophanales; Staphylococcaceae
Description: partial 23S ribosomal RNA
Rfam family: Bacterial large subunit ribosomal RNA
Source: RNAcentral